AGGGAGGGCAACAAGACGAGCGCGAGGAACCAACGGGGGGACACGAGCGCUCCAGUCUCAGCGAACACAAUUAGAGAAGUGUUGUUGAACGUGGGCUAUGCGCGCAAGGGGGGAGCGCUGUGUACAGAGGAGGUGAAUACAUGUAGAGAGGCUCAGAUUCAGAUUCACAGCCUCCUUCUUGAAGAGUCACUGCGUUGAAAAGAGGAAAGGAGUGAGGGCAAAGAGGAACUCUUGCAGAGAACUACGUGAGUACAGCCUACAUUCUUCAAAAACAAAACAAAAAAGUAAAUAAAAGAAAGGGGCGAGUAGACUUUACUUAAAAG
This is a long non-coding RNA of Myripristis murdjan (pinecone soldierfish), 323 nucleotides long. RefSeq lists it as uncharacterized. Lineage: Eukaryota; Metazoa; Chordata; Actinopteri; Holocentriformes; Holocentridae. The record is from RefSeq and is a predicted model, not a curated record. The transcript is spliced from 3 exons.